This 1928-nucleotide unclassified non-coding RNA is filed under the name uncultured fungus. RNAcentral describes it as "sequence contains 18S rRNA gene, ITS1, 5.8S rRNA gene, ITS2, 28S rRNA gene". The stretch from base 820 to 1928 matches the Rfam family "Eukaryotic large subunit ribosomal RNA", at positions 1 to 961 of the family's 3401-position model. The record is from RNAcentral. Lineage: Eukaryota; Fungi.
GGAAGGAUCAUUAACACGUAUCCACGUAUUCACCCCAGUGAAUUCGUUUUCGAUCAAGUCCUGCUGUUGCUGACGAUGCUGGUAUGCGCUUUAGAAUUCGUUUGAAUGAGAAUCGACUUCGGUCGAUUCCGGUUCUAAGUCGCUUCUUCUUCGGAAGGACACAUCGAUAGUUUAAUAACAGGCAUUUCGUUCUAUUCUCCUCUUUACAUUCAACGAGCUGGAGUUUAGUUCUAUUCAAUUCACCUAUUUCACACCCUUUUUGCUAGUUGACUUUUAAUAUGUUGUUAUUUGAAAACCUUGAUCGGUUGGCUUAUGACACACGUUUAAUUAUUUGAACGUUAAAAAAACAACUCUUAGCAAUGGAUAUCUAGGUUCUCGCAACGAUGAAGAACGCAGCGAAAUGCGAUACGUAAUGCGAAUUGCAGAAUUCAGUGAAUCAUCAAAUCUUUGAACGCAAAUUGCGCUCUUGGGUAGCCCUAGGAGCACGCCUCUCUCAGUAUCGGUUCAAACACCUCUCAGCAGCGUUGAUUUCAACGUGUUGGCUGGAAAAUGAGAGUCUAUCGAUUCGUUCGAUAGUCUCUUGAAAUUGAUCGAGUGAGUGAGUGGAGCCAUUUCAGCUUGUCUUCGGACAAUAGCUUGACAUUUGACUCUUUCACAUCAGUGACGUGAAUAUUGACCCUUGUUGGUCUUCUUUUUACGUGUGUCUGAUGAGAGAGAUUUAUAGUUGAAUACAAGUGAACGAAUGGAUUAUCCCCUUCUCAUGGAACGCGAUAGACACCUCUAUUGCAAUCGACUUUCUUUCGAGACAGUCUGAAUAUUUGAUCUGAGAUGAAGCGAGACAACCCCCUGAAUUUAAGCAUAUUAAUAAGGGGAGGAAAAGAAACUAACAAGGAUUCCCCCAGUAACGGCGAGUGAAGCGGGAAGAGCUCAAUUUGAAAAUCGAUUACCUAAACGGGUCAUCGAAUUGUAGCCUAGAGACGUACUAUCAGCUAAAACCUGGGUAUAAGUUCUUUGGAAUGAGGCAUCAUAGAGGGUGAGAAUCCCGUAUAUGACCCAAAGCUUUUAGCGUACGAUGUAUGUUCCUCGAGUCGAGUUGUUUGGGAUUGCAGCUCUAAAUGGGUGGUAAGUUUCAUCUAAAGCUAAAUAAUGGCGAGAGACCGAUAUCGAACAAGUACCGUGAGGGAAAGAUGAAAAGAACUUUGAAAAGAGAGUUAAAAGUACUUGAAAUUGCUAAGAGGGAAGCGCUGUCAACCAGUGAUAUGCGUUAUUCAUCGCUUUCAGCCCCACUGGAUGUAGGAGAUAGUAUUUAACUCUGUCUCAUGCAUCGAAAGGGAGGUUGUAGGUUUAGAAUAGCGUGUCAGUCAAGAUUCAUUCGAUGAGUGGAAGAAGGUAGUGGGAAAGGUAGGAGAUCCGUCUCUGUUAAGUCCCAUUACUCUACCUCGCGUUGGAUGGAGGAAGGAAUAGUGCGCUGCUUGCGGCUUCAUCCCCUGCUCCUAUGUAGUUAAUGCUUCUGAUAGCAAUGCUAUCCUUGGUGUGAAGCUGCAUACUGGGUGGGACGAUGCUAUGUGCUAUCACGAUCUUGUACGAAAUGGUUGUCAUCGACCCGUCUUGAAACACGGACCAAGGAGUCUAACAUCUAUGCGAGUAUUUGAGUGAAAAACUCUGAUGCGCAAUGAAAGUAAAGGUAGCUUCGGCUGCUGAGGUAGGAAUCCGGUCAAACGGAGGCACUAUCGACCGAUCAUCACUUGUGAAAGAUUUGAGUAAGAGCAUAUCUGUUGGGACCCGAAAGAUGGUGAUCUAUGCCUGAACAGGGUGAAGCCAGGGGAAACUCUGGUGGAGGCUCGUAGCGAUACUGACGUGCAAAUCGUUCGUCUGAUUUGGGUAUAGGGGCGAAAGACUAAUCGAACCAUCUAGUAGCUGGUUCCCUC